AGAGUUUGAUCCUGGCUCAGGAUGAACGCUGGCGGCGCGCCUAACACAUGCAAGUCGAACGGAACCUGCCCUCUGAUUUAUUCGAAUGGAUACCUGAUGAAUUGCACGUGGAAAAGCUGACCCCUCCCCCGGGAUACCCGCCCCAAAGGACGGGAAAUCCCGUAUACCCCGGGGCGAAUACCGCAUAAGCGCACAGAGCUGCAUGGGUCGGUGUGAAAAACUCCGGUGGUAUGGGAUGGGCCCGCGUCUGAUUAGGCAGUUGGCGGGGUAACGGCCCACCAAACCGACGAUCAGUAGCCGGCCUGAGAGGGCGACCGGCCACAUUGGGACUGAGACACGGCCCAAACUCCUACGGGAGGCAGCAGUGGGGAAUAUUGCACAAUGGGGGAAACCCUGAUGCAGCGACGCCGCGUGAAGGAAGAAGUAUCUCGGUAUGUAAACUUCUAUCAGCAGGGAAGAAAAUGACGGUACCUGACUAAGAAGCCCCGGCUAACUACGUGCCAGCAGCCGCGGUAAUACGUAGGGGGCAAGCGUUAUCCGGAUUUACUGGGUGUAAAGGGAGCGUAGACGGAUGGACAAGUCUGAUGUGAAAGGCUGGGGCUCAACCCCGGGACUGCAUUGGAAACUGCCCGUCUUGAGUGCCGGAGAGGUAAGCGGAAUUCCUAGUGUAGCGGUGAAAUGCGUAGAUAUUAGGAGGAACACCAGUGGCGAAGGCGGCUUACUGGACGGCAACUGACGUUGAGGCUCGAAAGCGUGGGGGGCGAACCGGAUUAGAUUCCCUUGUAGUUCCACCCGUUAACGAAGGAUUCUAAGUGGUGGGGGAUCCGCCCUCUUUGCUGCAGCCACCGCAUCAAUUAUCCUUCCUGGGGAGGAGGGCGGCAAGGCUAAAACUCAUCGGAAUAAACGGGGACCCGCCGCAACGCGGUGGAGCAUCGUGGUUUUAUUAUUAGCAACGCGAAGAACCUCCUCACGUACUCCUCAUCAUUCCGUCCGCGGAGUCAUCUGUGCGUUUUCUUCUUCGCAGCGAGUGGCAGCAUGGUGCACGGUGGUGGUCAUCAUCUUGUCUUGAGAUGUUGGGGGAAGUCUCGCACAGAGAGCGCCCCCCAUCUUUUCUGUCCGCGCACGGAUAGGCGGGGACUCUAAUGAGACCGCCGCAGACAACGCGGAGGGAGGCGGGGGAGGAGUCAAGUUUCUCUUCCCCUUAAGGCCUGGGGUUCCCCCGUAGUUCCAAGGGUGUCAACAAAGAGAAGCGAGCCCGCGAGGGAGAGCAAAUCUCAAAAACACACCCCCAGUUCAGAUCGCAGUCUGCAACCCGCCUGCAUGAAGUAGGAAUCGCUAGUAAUCGCGGGUCAGCAUGCCGCGGUGAAUACAAUCCCGGGCCUUGCACACACCGCCCGUCA
This 1400-nucleotide ribosomal RNA is filed under the name uncultured bacterium. RNAcentral describes it as "partial 16S ribosomal RNA". It matches the Rfam family "Bacterial small subunit ribosomal RNA". The record is from RNAcentral.